AGCAGCCGCCGCGGGAACACGAAGGGUGCAAGCGUUAAUCGGAAUUACUGGGCGUAAAGCGUGCGUAGGCGGUGAGUUAAGUCUGCUGUGAAAUCCCCGGGCUCAACCUGGGAAUGGCAGUGGAUACUGGCUCGCUAGAGUGUGUCAGAGGAUGGUGGAAUUCCCGGUGUAGCGGUGAAAUGCGUAGAGAUCGGGAGGAACAUCAGUGGCGAAGGCGGCCAUCUGGGACAACACUGACGCUGAGGCACGAAAGCGUGGGGAGCAAACAGGAUUAGAUACCCGCGUAGUCCCUGUCUCUUAUAC
RNAcentral lists this ribosomal RNA (303 nucleotides) under uncultured bacterium. RNAcentral's name for it is "partial 16S ribosomal RNA". It matches the Rfam family "Bacterial small subunit ribosomal RNA", at positions 507 to 807 of the family's 1533-position model. The record is from RNAcentral.